RNAcentral lists this long non-coding RNA (1366 nucleotides) under Leguminivora glycinivorella. RNAcentral's name for it is "uncharacterized LOC125231652". The record is from RNAcentral. Lineage: Eukaryota; Metazoa; Arthropoda; Insecta; Lepidoptera; Tortricidae.
GAGUGCGCCACCAGUCCGCCAUCUUUCUUACCUUUUUGAUGGUUGUUGACUUGUAAAUUUUGUAAUUAGUUUUUGCCGACGUCCGUUUUUUAAGUAAUUUUUGGUAUUUUACAAAUUGUGUUACUUUAGUGGACACGUGGAGACAUGGACGCUGACUGUUGGAAGAAUUCGUCAAUUCAGACUGGCGCAAAGAGCUAUCAGGGCGCGAUGCCAGGAAUUUCAUUGCGAGACAGAAUUCGAAAUGAGGAUAUUCGCCAACGCAAUAAAGUUACCGACAUUGCAAAAAGGAUUAACUCAAGUGGGAAUGGACCGGCUAUAUUUUUCGCAGAGAUGACGAUCAAUGGGGUCGCCUAGUAUUGCUGUGGAGACCUAGCCUGGGUGGCCGAGGUGGCGGGAAACCACGAGCAGAUGGUCGGAUGACACAUAUAGAACGGAGUGGAAACCCACGGAAUGCAGACCAGGAUCAUAUACUUUAGGUAUGAGUUUGUUACUUUUGCUCAUAAUAACAUGGAGUAUGUCACGGCUGCUCCACGGGCUGCAUUGAAGGGCAACAGGAGCGAAAAUGUUAAAAUGGAAAGGAGCUCCCCCUUUCAAUUAGGGAAUCUUAGGAUAUGCUAAGGCAAACAGAAGGAGGCAAGGAACGGGACUGCAUCAAUUGCUGUCUGGAACCAAUCUUGUGGGAUGACUUCUGGACAGGGAAAAACAAUUUCAUCAUCUACCCUAAUACUGACGAAUGUUCUAAAACGUGCUGUAAGGCAGACAUUUCCAAAUGUAACGGAGGAAAGUUUCGAGACAUGUAAUGGUUUCAACAUGCUGCUGAGACCCAACUCAAGAGACGUCAGUUUGUACUGUUUAGUCCAUUCUCUAUUAGGCAUGCUUGUAUAGAGAGGUAUAUAUAUAUAUAUAUUGGAGUACAGACAUGGUGUUUGGUAUGAGUAUUAUAUACAUCCUUUUGAGUCAAAUAGGACCGGUAGCCACUUUGAACUCCGUGUCCGAAAGGGUCAAAGUAUGGAGCUCCCGGUACUCAGAAAAAAAAUUCUGGCCUAUUAGUUUUGAACUUUCGAGUCAAGUUUGGUGUCAUUUUUAAACUGUUCGCUUCGUUUUUAAAUUGAAGAAGAUUAAAAAUCACAGUAAUAUUAUAAAGGCAAAAGUUUGUGAGCAUACCGUGUUUGUUACUUCCUCACGCCACGCCCAAGUGCCUUAACAAAUAUUAUUUAUAAAAUUAAGUAUGGAGGAAGUACGAUAUACCCUAAGUUAACACGUCGCUUCUUCUUGAUCGUGGGUAACACUCGGGGCGCAGUAUAAUGAUUAUUAAAAAUCUUUAUGCUGUCCCCUAUGCUGCGAUGGCGAUCGUUGCAGUACUUUC